Molecule: ribosomal RNA, 465 nt
Filed under: uncultured Klebsiella sp.
Lineage: Bacteria; Pseudomonadati; Pseudomonadota; Gammaproteobacteria; Enterobacterales; Enterobacteriaceae
Description: bacterial SSU rRNA
Rfam family: Bacterial small subunit ribosomal RNA
Source: RNAcentral
CCUACGGGGAGCAGCAGUGGGGAAUAUUGCACAAUGGGCGCAAGCCUGAUGCAGCCAUGCCGCGUGUGUGAAGAAGGCCUUCGGGUUGUAAAGCACUUUCAGCGGGGAGGAAGGCGGUGAGGUUAAUAACCUCAUCGAUUGACGUUACCCGCAGAAGAAGCACCGGCUAACUCCGUGCCAGCAGCCGCGGUAAUACGGAGGGUGCAAGCGUUAAUCGGAAUUACUGGGCGUAAAGCGCACGCAGGCGGUCUGUCAAGUCGGAUGUGAAAUCCCCGGGCUCAACCUGGGAACUGCAUGCGAAACUGGCAGGCUAGAGUCUUGUAGAGGGGGGUAGAAUUCCAGGUGUAGCGGUGAAAUGCGUAGAGAUCUGGAGGAAUACCGGUGGCGAAGGCGGCCCCCUGGACAAAGACUGACGCGCAGGUGCGAAAGCGUGGGGAGCAAACAGGAUUAGAUACCCUAGUAGUC